Molecule: transfer RNA, 68 nt
Filed under: Marmota monax (woodchuck)
Lineage: Eukaryota; Metazoa; Chordata; Mammalia; Rodentia; Sciuridae
Description: tRNA.Ala
Source: RNAcentral
GGAUUAUGGCUCAGCGGUAGAGUGCUCGCCUAGCACGUGUGAGACCCUGGAUUCGAUCCUCAGCACCA